AAAAACAUGGCUCCUUGAAAAUAUUUUAUAGGGAGUUGGACCUGCCCAGUGAUUUUUUUUAACGGCCGCGGUACUCUGACCGUGCAAAGGUAGCAUAAUCAUUUGCCUUAUAAUUGAAGGCUAGUAUGAAAGGUUUGACAAGAAUAUAGCUGUCUCUAUAUGAUUAACUAGAAUUUUACUUUUAGGUGAAGAGGCCUGAAUUAAAUUAAAAGACAAGAAGACCCUAUCGAGCUUUUAAAAAAAUUAGAAGAUUAUUAAUUAAUAAGCUUAAAAAAUUAGCUUUUAAAAAUUUUAGUUGGGGCGACUGAGGAAUAGCAAAAGCUUCCUUAAGAAAAUUUCAAUGUACAGAUAUUGAUCCAUAAUAUUAUGAUUAAUGAAAUUAGUUACCGUAGGGAUAACAGCAUAAUCUUUUUUGAGAGCUCCUAUCGAAAAAAAGGUUUGUGACCUCGAUGUUGGACCAAAAUAUCCUAAAGAUGUAGCAGUCUUUAAUGGUUGGUCUGUUCGACCAUUAAAAUUUUACCUGA
Molecule: ribosomal RNA, 524 nt
Filed under: Anentome sp. B LAG-2017
Lineage: Eukaryota; Metazoa; Mollusca; Gastropoda; Neogastropoda; Nassariidae
Description: partial 16S ribosomal RNA
Rfam family: Bacterial large subunit ribosomal RNA
Source: RNAcentral